UACAGAGGGUGCAAGCGUUGUUCGGAAUUAUUGGGCGUAAAGCGCGUGUAGGCGGCCCCGCAAGUCAGGUGUGAAAGCCCUCGGCUUAACCGAGGAAGUGCGCCUGAAACUACAGGGCUUGAGUACCGGAGAGGGUGGCGGAAUUCCCGGUGUAGAGGUGAAAUUCGUAGAUAUCGGGAGGAACACCAGUGGCGAAGGCGGCCACCUGGACGGCUACUGACGCUGAGACGCGAAAGCGUGGGGAGCAAACAGG
Molecule: ribosomal RNA, 253 nt
Filed under: uncultured Anaeromyxobacter sp.
Lineage: Bacteria; Pseudomonadati; Myxococcota; Myxococcia; Myxococcales; Anaeromyxobacteraceae
Description: partial 16S ribosomal RNA
Rfam family: Bacterial small subunit ribosomal RNA
Source: RNAcentral